UUCGGUGGCGAUGGCAAAGAGGAAACACCCGUUCCCAUCUCGAACACGGAAGUUAAGCUCUUUAGCGCCGAUGGUACUGCUUGGGCGACUAAGCGGGAGAGUAGGACGCCGCCGAAA
This 117-nucleotide ribosomal RNA is filed under the name Pseudomonadota bacterium. Lineage: Bacteria; Pseudomonadati; Pseudomonadota. The record is from RNAcentral. RNAcentral also lists the same sequence under 1 other name.